CAAAUCCCUUACAGCUACUCUCUCUCCUGUUCACCAGUCACCUCCAUCAUUCAAUUGAAAACUCACUCAGUCAACUAAUUAACUCGCUCAAUUGAAAAACUCACGCGAGUUUAGAAUCGAAUCCAUCAUUCAGUGAAUCGACUCCUCUUCUUCUCGAUCGACUCCUUUUCUUUCCCUUGAUCACAAACAACCGUCAUUGUUCUCCUCCACUAACGCUUGAGCACAAACAACCGUCAUUGUUCCAACCUCAACCUCCAUUUCAGCAGAGCUCCCCGUUCCUUCAACUCCAACAACAACAAUUACAGCAAUUACAGCAACAACAAUUUCAAC
This 330-nucleotide long non-coding RNA is filed under the name Panax ginseng (ginseng). RNAcentral's name for it is "long non-coding RNA (PGIN_LNC017165)". Lineage: Eukaryota; Viridiplantae; Streptophyta; Magnoliopsida; Apiales; Araliaceae. The record is from RNAcentral.